Molecule: ribosomal RNA, 610 nt
Filed under: uncultured Roseateles sp.
Lineage: Bacteria; Pseudomonadati; Pseudomonadota; Betaproteobacteria; Burkholderiales; Sphaerotilaceae
Description: bacterial SSU rRNA
Rfam family: Bacterial small subunit ribosomal RNA
Source: RNAcentral
GCCUUACACAUGCAAGUCGAACGGUAACAGGUUAAGCUGACGAGUGGCGAACGGGUGAGUAAUAUAUCGGAACGUGCCCAGUCGUGGGGGAUAACUGCUCGAAAGAGCAGCUAAUACCGCAUACGACCUGAGGGUGAAAGCGGGGGAUCGCAAGACCUCGCGCGAUUGGAGCGGCCGAUAUCAGAUUAGGUAGUUGGCGGGGUAAAGGCCCACCAAGCCAACGAUCUGUAGCUGGUCUGAGAGGACGACCAGCCACACUGGGACUGAGACACGGCCCAGACUCCUACGGGAGGCAGCAGUGGGGAAUUUUGGACAAUGGGCGCAAGCCUGAUCCAGCCAUGCCGCGUGCGGGAAGAAGGCCUUCGGGUUGUAAACCGCUUUUGUCAGGGAAGAAAAGGUUCUGGUUAAUACCUGGGACUCAUGACGGUACCUGAAGAAUAAGCACCGGCUAACUACGUGCCAGCAGCCGCGGUAAUACGUAGGGUGCAAGCGUUAAUCGGAAUUACUGGGCGUAAAGCGUGCGCAGGCGGUUAUGCAAGACAGAGGUGAAAUCCCCGGGCUCAACCUGGGAACUGCCUUUGUGACUGCAUGGCUAGAGUACGGUAGAGGG